AAACAGAUGCUAAUACCGUAUAACAGAGAAAACCGCCUGGUUUUCUUUUAAAAGAUGGCUCUGCUAUCACUUCUGGAUGGACCCGCGGCGCAUUAGCUAGUUGGUGAGGUAACGGCUCACCAAGGCGAUGAUGCGUAGCCGACCUGAGAGGGUAAUCGGCCACAUUGGGACUGAGACACGGCCCAGACUCCUACGGGAGGCAGCAGUAGGGAAUCUUCCACAAUGGACGCAAGUCUGAUGGAGCAACGCCGCGUGAGUGAAGAAGGGUUUCGGCUCGUAAAGCUCUGUUGUUAAAGAAGAACGUGGGUGAGAGUAACUGUUCACCCAGUGACGGUAUUUAACCAGAAAGCCACGGCUAACUACGUGCCAGCAGCCGCGGUAAUACGUAGGUGGCAAGCGUUAUCCGGAUUUAUUGGGCGUAAAGCGAGCGCAGGCGGUCUUUUAAGUCUAAUGUGAAAGCCUUCGGCUCAACCGAAGAAGUGCAUUGGAAACUGGGAGACUUGAGUGCAGAAGAGGACAGUGGAACUCCAUGUGUAGCGGUGAAAUGCGUAGAUAUAUGGAAGAACACCAGUGGCGAAGGCGGCUGUCUGGUCUGUAACUGACGCUGAGGCUCGAAAGCAUGGGUAGCGAACAGGAUUAGAUACCCUGGUAGUCCAUGCCGUAAACGAUGAUUACUAAGUGUUGGAGGGUUUCCGCCCUUCAGUGCUGCAGCUAACGCAUUAAGUAAUCCGCCUGGGGAGUACGACCGCAAGGUUGAAACUCAAAAGAAUUGACGGGGGCCCGCACAAGCGGUGGAGCAUGUGGUUUAAUUCGAAGCUACGCGAAGAACCUUACCAGGUCUUGACAUCUUCUGCCAACCUAAGAGAUUAGGCGUUCCCUUCGGGGACAGAAUGACAGGUGGUGCAUGGUUGUCGUCAGCUCGUGUCGUGAGAUGUUGGGUUAAGUCCCGCAACGAGCGCAACCCUUAUUACUAGUUGCCAGCAUUCAGUUGGGCACUCUAGUGAGACUGCCGGUGACAAACCGGAGGAAGGUGGGGACGACGUCAAAUCAUCAUGCCCCUUAUGACCUGGGCUACACACGUGCUACAAUGGAUGGUACAACGAGUCGCGAAACCGCGAGGUUUAGCUAAUCUCUUAAAACCAUUUUCAGUUCGGACUGUAGGUUGCAACU
Molecule: ribosomal RNA, 1170 nt
Filed under: Pediococcus acidilactici
Lineage: Bacteria; Bacillati; Bacillota; Bacilli; Lactobacillales; Lactobacillaceae
Description: bacterial SSU rRNA
Rfam family: Bacterial small subunit ribosomal RNA
Source: RNAcentral